This 468-nucleotide ribosomal RNA is filed under the name uncultured bacterium. RNAcentral describes it as "partial 16S ribosomal RNA". It matches the Rfam family "Bacterial small subunit ribosomal RNA", at positions 28 to 507 of the family's 1533-position model. The record is from RNAcentral.
GACGAACGCUGGCGGCGUGCUUAACACAUGCAAGUCGAACGGAAAGGCCCUGCUUUUGUGGGGUGCUCGAGUGGCGAACGGGUGAGUAACACGUGAGUAACCUGCCCUUGACUUUGGGAUAACUUCAGGAAACUGGGGCUAAUACCGGAUAGGAGCUCCUGCUGCAUGGUGGGGGUUGGAAAGUUUCGGCGGUUGGGGAUGGACUCGCGGCUUAUCGGCUUGUUGGUGGGGUAGUGGCUUACCAAGGCUUUGACGGGUAGCCGGCCUGAGAGGGUGACCGGCCACCUUGGGCCUGCGAUACGGCCCAGACUCCUACGGGACGCAGCAGUUGAGAAUAUUGCACAAUGGGCGGAAGCCUGAUGCAGCAACGCCGCGUUCGGGAUGACGUCCUUCGGGUGGUAAACCGCUUUCGCCUGUGACGAAGCGUGAGUGACGGUAAUGGGUAAAGAAGCACCGGCUAACUACGUG